Molecule: ribosomal RNA, 882 nt
Filed under: uncultured Armatimonadota bacterium
Lineage: Bacteria; Bacillati; Armatimonadota
Description: bacterial SSU rRNA
Rfam family: Bacterial small subunit ribosomal RNA
Source: RNAcentral
GACGAACGCUGGCGGCGUGCCUAAAACAUGCAAGUCGAACGGGGACUUCGGUCCCAGUGGCGAACGGCGGAGUAAUACAUAAGCAACGUGCCUUGAAGACUGGGAUAGUCGCGGGAAACUGCGGGUAAUACCGGAUGUGGUGACGGUGAGGCAUCUCAAAGUCAUUAAAUGGUUUUUCGCUUCAUGAGCGGCUUAUGGCCUAUCAGGUAGUUGGUGGGGUAAUGGCCUACCAAGCCGACGACGGGUAGCGGGUCUGAGAGGAUGACCCGCUCGAGUGGGACUGAGACACGGCCCACACACCUACGGGUGGCAGCAGUUGGGAAUCUUGCACAAUGGGGGAAACCCUGAUGCAGCGACGCCGCGUGGAGGAUGAAGGAUCUAGGUCUGUAAACUCCUUUUUCAGGGAAAGACUUAGGACGGUACCCUGAGAAUAAGCUCCGGCUAACUACGUGCCAGCAGCCGCGGUAAGACGUAGGGAGCAAGCGUUGUCCGGAUUUACUGGGCGUAAAGCGCGCGUAGGCGGUCUGUUAAGUGAGAAGUGAAAUCUCCAGGGCUCAACCCGGAAACUGCUUUUCAUACUGGCAGACUGGAGGAAUGCAGAGGUUUGUGGAAUUCCUGGUGUAGCGGUGAAAUGCGUUGAUAUCAGGAGGAACACCCAUGGCGAAGGCAGCAAACUGGGCAUUUCCUGACGCUGAGGUGCGAAAGCGUGGGUAGCAAACAGGAUUAGAUACCCUGGUAGUCCACGCCCUAAACGAUGGAUACUAGGCGUAAGAGGUAUCGACCCCUCUUGUGCCGCAGCUAACGCAUUAAGUAUCCCGCCUGGGGACUACGGCCGCAAGGUUGAAACUCAAAUGAAUUGACGGGACCCGCACAAGCGGUGGA